AAUGAACGCUGGCGGCGUGCCUAACACAUGCAAGUCGUACGAGAAAGGGGCUUCGGCCCUGAGUAGAGUGGCGCACGGGUGAGUAACGCGUGGGUAAUCUACCCUUGGAUUUGGGAUAACUCUGCGAAAGUGGAGCUAAUACCGGAUAGUCUGGCUUUAAAUAAGAAGUCGGUAAAGGAUGCCUCUGCAUAUGCAUUCGUCCGAGGAUGAGCCCGCGUCUCAUUAGCUAGUUGGUAGGGUAAUGGCCUACCAAGGCAACGAUGAGUAGCUGGUCUGAGAGGAUGAUCAGCCACACUGGAACUGAAACACGGUCCAGACUCCUACGGGAGGCAGCAGUGGGGAAUAUUGCGCAAUGGGCGAAAGCCUGACGCAGCAACGCCGUGUGAGGGAUGAAGGCUUUCGGGUCGUAAACCUCUGUCGGAAGGGAAGAACGGGUGGUGGUCUAAUAGGCCUCCAUUUUGACGGUACCUUUAGAGGAAGCACCGGCUAACUCCGUGCCAGCAGCCGCGGUAAUACGGAGGGUGCAAGCGUUAUUCGGAAUUACUGGGCGUAAAGCGCACGUAGGCGGCCUUGUAAGUCAGGGGUGAAAUCCCACGGCUCAACCGUGGAACUGCCUUUGAAACUGCAGGGCUUGAAUCCUGGAGAGGGUGGCGGAAUUCCUGGUGUAGGAGUGAAAUCCGUAGAUAUCAGGAGGAACACCGGUGGCGAAGGCGGCCACCUGGACAGGUAUUGACGCUGAGGUGCGAAAGUGUGGGGAGCAAACA
RNAcentral lists this ribosomal RNA (764 nucleotides) under bacterium enrichment culture clone SB3-9. Its description in RNAcentral is "bacterial SSU rRNA". It matches the Rfam family "Bacterial small subunit ribosomal RNA", at positions 28 to 774 of the family's 1533-position model. The record is from RNAcentral.